CUCUCUCUCCUAGUCUCUCUCUUGGCCGAAUUCUCUGCAGCAAAAACACAACACAAAGUUGCCAUUUUCAUCCUCAAUUCUUGCACAAAAACUUCAUGGAUUCACACCAAAUUUGAACUACACUUAGCUUGUCACGUGGAGAGAUCAUCUAGCUAGAAAAAGGAGGAGUUUCUCACGGUUUCUUGGAGCAUCUUGAGGACCGAAAUUUCUGGUUUAAAGCAACAAGGAGGUAUAACCUCAUCCUACACCUUAAGCUUGGUUUAUGAUGGUAGAAAUGCAUCCUUAAGCUAUUGCAUGUGUAUGGGUAUCUUGAUAUUGUUGGAAAAAUGUGAAAGUGGGCUCUAUGGAUUCCCACACUUGGGUUGUUGCUGAUUUGAUGAUUGAUGGUGGAUAUAUUGUUGGUUUAGUGGUUAAAAUGAUGGAUUAAUGGUGUGUAAUUGACAGAAAUUUCAUUGGGUGCAAGAGGCAAAAGUUUCCGAUUUUACCCCUGCCUUGUCCGACCACUUUUGUGCAAAAUUUUGAAGUUCUAAUGGCUUGAUUAUGUUGUUUACAUGUUAUUGUGAGUGUGUACAAAAUUUCAUUGAAAAAUAACAUGAUUUGGUUGGUCAAAUGAGUUGAUUUCGAAAGUUAGCAAAUCUGGAAAAUGAUUCCCGUAUUGACCAGGCAGUCAUUUUGUAUCGGCUAUAACUCUUUACUCCGAUGUCGAAAUCAAGUGCCGUUUGCGGCAUUGGAAACUAGACAUUCCCAGCUUUCCAUUGGUACUAAAUUCGCGUUCUGGUUCCACUUGAGUGAGCCACACCAUUCGUUUGAAAAUCACUGCCCUGUUUCGUUGCUCUCCAGGAGACAGGACAGAAAUUUCUUCUUGAUGCUCAAAAACGAGCUGUUUGUGGAUAGAAUUUGGAAAUGGUUUCUUCUGAGAAAAUUCAGCUUUAUGAGAGAGCUUUCUAACGCCAUCAACCACGCUCAAUUCCAAGUUGAAUUGAGUGAGUUGUGGCCAUAUUUCGAAACUGAUGCAGUGAGUAAAAAUCCUCUUUUGACUAGUUAAAUGGCCUAGCUUGAUUUGGGACUUGUUGUUUUGGAAAAUUUGAUGUCCAACAUCUACCAAACUUUAUAUUAGAUGUUUCUUGGACUUUGUUUUACAAAUAAACCAGAUUUGGGUUGGUUGCUUUGGACAAAAUGUUUAAAAAGGAAAGAAGAGCUAGAAGACAGUUUUACCUUGGGAAAUUUCCUGAACUUUGAUGGUUUAGUUAACUACCUUCCCGUGUGUAUUUUCAAAUGAAAUUUGAUAGAAGAGUAAUCCUCAUAUGGAGGUUUAAUUGUACAAAAUUUGGUAAUAUUCUAAGACCAUUUUGAUAUGCAAAUGAUGUCACAAAAUUCGCUCAUUGAAUCUGGAAAACUUUUGUUUUCUCUUAGCCGAAUGGCCAAAUCUGAUUUGGAGAGUUUUAUUUCGAAAAUUUGGAUGUCAAUGGUCUUUAAAUUGCUCAGUGAAUGUUUAUGAACUCCUGGUUUCAAUAAUGGAGAGAUUUGGAACUGAUUUCAUGGUACAAAAAGUUUGUAAACAAAAGAAAAGUGAGAAGGUAGUUUAGCCUUGAAACUCUUCAUAAACUUUGGUUGUUUUAAUGACUACCUUACCGUGUGAGUUUUUGUAUGAAACUUGGUAGAAAUGUUGUUCACAUAUGGAAGAUUUAGUGUACCAAGUUUUAUGUAUUUCCACUGCCAACUUGAUGACCAAAUGAUAUUUCAAAUCUAGUUUUAAACCUGGAAAAUAGCCCAACAGUCUUAACUUUUUCAGCAACUUGGAGGUACUAUAUCUUGGUGCUCGAAACUCCGUUUCUCGUUCCGCUUGUUUUGUUAUACUCUUGGAUUGCAACACUAAUUGAUUUCCAAAUUUCAAAGGUUAGUUCAAAACAAGUGAAUUUUGCCGAAUUUCUAAAGUUGGCCAAAAACCAACUUAAAUCUGUCUUGGUAAUUCAAGUUACCAACUUUGAGCCAAAAUUUGAGUGCCUUUCACUUACAUUCGUGGAAAAGUGUCUUGUAAGAACUUUUAGUACUUUGAAAGAGGAUUCCAACAGUACCAAGUUUUCCAAUUUUGGACUUGUGAAGAGUGAAAUAUGAUUUUUCAAAUAUUACUUGUUAAAUCUGGAAUUUUUUAACUUAAAGGAAACUAAAGGUUUCAAACCCUCCAUUUUCCUUCAAUAUCAUUUGAUCGUUUUACAUUUGAUUUUAAAGAUGGAAAUCAGAUUUGUCUUGUAUUUUAAAACCCACUUUUGAACCUCGAGUUACACGAACUCUUAGACUUGCCUCUGCGUUAAUUUCUUAGAUUGUACUAGUGUACAAUUUUCCUCGAUAAUUAGAAUGAUUUUGAGUGGUAGUUGAUUAUUGUUGCUCAGGCACUCGAGGGAAUCUCCCAGAGGAACUCGGAGCGGAC
RNAcentral lists this long non-coding RNA (2428 nucleotides) under Coffea arabica (coffee). RNAcentral describes it as "long non-coding RNA (CARA_LNC007418)". The record is from RNAcentral. Lineage: Eukaryota; Viridiplantae; Streptophyta; Magnoliopsida; Gentianales; Rubiaceae.